RNAcentral lists this long non-coding RNA (1023 nucleotides) under Coturnix japonica (Japanese quail). Its description in RNAcentral is "lncRNA (ENSCJPG00005001804.1)". Lineage: Eukaryota; Metazoa; Chordata; Aves; Galliformes; Phasianidae. The record is from RNAcentral.
CAACACUUGGGGGGCUGCCCCACAACCCAGGGGUCUCCCCCCGGCCCUGGACCCCCCCCCUAAUUCGGGGACCCCUCGGCCCCCAUUGAGACCACAUUGAGGGGACCCCCCACCCACAAUAAAACAGAUGAGGGGGGGGUCUCCAAGUUAAUGGGGGGGGGGCUGUGGGACCCACACUUGGGGGUCUGCCCCACAUAUGGGGGGUGGGGGGGCAGUAGGACCCACACUUAGGGGGGUUUCUGCCCCACACUUGGGGGUCUGCCCCACACUUGGGGGUCUGCCCCACAUAUGGGUUUUGGGGGGGGCAGCAGGACCCACACUUGGGGGUCUGCCCCACAUAUGGGGUGUGGGAGCAGUAGGACCCACACUAAGGGGGGGUUCUGCCCCACACUUGGGGGUCUGCCCCACAUAUGGGGGGUGGGAGCAGCAGGACCCACACUAAGGGGGCUCUGACCCAUAUUAGGGGGGGUUCUGCCCCACACUUGGGGGUCUGCCCCACAUAUGGGGGGUUGGGGGGGCAGCAGGACCCACACUUAGGGGGGGUUCUGCCCCAUAUUAGGGGGGGUUCUGCCCCACACUUGGGGGUCUGCCCCACACUUGGGGGGGUUCUGCCCCACAUCUAUGGGUCUGCCCCACACUUGGGGGGCUGGGGGUGCUCCAUACUGAUAAGGGGGGGGCACAUAAUGGGUUCUGCCCCACAGAGAGGGGGGUUCUGCCCCACACUUAGGGGGCUCUGACCCACAUCUAUGGGUCUGCCCCACACUUAGGGGGUCUCAGCCCCACACUUGGGGGUCAGGGCUGCUCCAUAGGGUGGGGGGGGUCCUGUGCUCCGGCCCCCUCCCCUUUAUGGGUUCUGCCCCACACUUAUGGGGCAGAGACCGCACUUAUGGGGCUCAGCCUCACACUUAUGGGGCUCAGUUCUGCCCCACACUUAUGGGGCACAGCCCCCCAUCACCCCCCCAAAAACCCCAUUUGUUAAAAGGCCCCAAAAAGCCCCAAAAUGGCCCCAAAAAUGAGGCAAAU